This 497-nucleotide ribosomal RNA is filed under the name uncultured bacterium. Its description in RNAcentral is "bacterial SSU rRNA". It matches the Rfam family "Bacterial small subunit ribosomal RNA", at positions 48 to 590 of the family's 1533-position model. The record is from RNAcentral.
CUAACACAUGCAAGUCGAACGAAGUAGCAAUACUUAGUGGCAGACGGGUGAGUAACAUGUAGGUAUCUACCCUUUGGCCUGGAAUAACACGAGGAAACUUGUGCUAAUACCGGAUAAGUCUUUACGGAGAAAGCUUUAUGCACCAUUGGAUGAGCCUGCACUUGAUUAGUUUGUUGGUGGGGUAAUGGCCUACCAAGACUGUGAUCAAUAGCUGAUUUGAGAGGAUGAUCAGCCACAUUGGGACUGAGACACGGCCCAAACUCCUACGGGAGGCAGCAGUGGGGAAUCUUGCACAAUGGAGGAAACUCUGAUGCAGCGAUGCCGCGUGAGUGAAGAAGGCCCUUGGGUUGUAAAGCUCUUUCGUCGGGGAAGAAAAUGACUGUACCCGAAUAAGAAGGUCCGGCUAACUUCGUGCCAGCAGCCGCGGUAAUACGAAGGGACCUAGCGUAGUUCGGAAUUACUGGGCUUAAAGAGUUCGUAGGUGGUUGAAAAAGUUA